RNAcentral lists this ribosomal RNA (292 nucleotides) under uncultured bacterium. RNAcentral describes it as "partial 16S ribosomal RNA". It matches the Rfam family "Bacterial small subunit ribosomal RNA", at positions 505 to 796 of the family's 1533-position model. The record is from RNAcentral.
GUGCCAGCAGCCGCGGUAAUACGGAGGGUGCAAGCGUUGCUCGGAAUCACUGGGCGUAAAGGGCGUGUAGGCGGUUUCGUAUGUCUGGCGUGAAAGCCCCGGGCUCAACCCGGGAAGUGCGUUGGAAACUGCGAAACUAGAGUCUCGGAGAGGAAGGUGGAAUUCCAGGUGUAGCGGUGAAAUGCGUAGAUAUCUGGAAGAACACCGGUGGCGAAGGCGGCCUUCUGGACGAUGACUGACGCUGAGACGCGAAAGCGUGGGGAGCAAACAGGAUUAGAUACCCUGGUAGUCC